AUGGCAGCAUCGCAGGGCUCAAUAUCGAUGAUGCCGUCGAGGUGCACAGCAGAGACGGCGCGGGCCACGGUCGCGUUCGAGAUCGCCGGCUACAGCCUGCUCAAGGGCUUCGGUAGAGGCAAAUGCCUCCGUUCUCCGGCAUUCUCCAUCGGCGACUACGAAUGGUGCAUCCACUACUUCCCCGACGGAAGCAAAAGCGAGGCAGGCGAAGGAUACGUCUCCGUCUUCCUCGUCCUCUUAACCAAGAACGCCGAGGUGAGGGCGAUCUUCAACUUGAUGCUUGUGGAGCCGGUUGGGGGGAAGUCGAUUGUGGUGUGCUCCUUCAAAGAGCCACUAGUGUUCGACCCUAAAAGGAUAUCUUGGGGCAAAACAAAGUUCAUGAAGACCACCACUGAAGUAGAAUCGCUUUACCUGCGAAAUGAUUGUCUCGUGAUCGAGUGCGAAGUCAGUGUUAUCAAGGAAACACUCGAGGUCCACGUCCCGCCGUCCCGCCUUUUGGAUAAUCUUGCAAAAUUACUAGAGGGCAAGAAAGGAGCAGACGCGACUUUCAAGGUGCAAGGGGAGGUUUUUUCUGCUCAUAAGGUUUUGCUUGCGACGCAAUCAGCAGUCUUCGACGCGGAGUUCUACGGGCCGAUGGGGGACAAAAGGGGCGCAAGACAUAACUAUUGA
Molecule: ribosomal RNA, 669 nt
Filed under: Triticum aestivum (bread wheat)
Lineage: Eukaryota; Viridiplantae; Streptophyta; Magnoliopsida; Poales; Poaceae
Description: partial small subunit ribosomal RNA
Source: RNAcentral